GAUGAACGCUGGCGGCGUGCCUAAUACAUGCAAGUCGAGCGAACAGACGAGGAGCUUGCUCCUCUGACGUUAGCGGCGGACGGGUGAGUAACACGUGGAUAACCUACCUAUAAGACUGGGAUAACUUCGGGAAACCGGAGCUAAUACCGGAUAAUAUAUUGAACCGCAUGGUUCAAUAGUGAAAGACGGUUUUGCUGUCACUUAUAGAUGGAUCCGCGCCGCCUUAGCUAGUUGGUAAGGUAACGGCUUACCAAGGCGACGAUGCGUAGCCGACCUGAGAGGGUGAGCGGCCACACUGGAACUGAGACACGGUCCAGACUCCUACGGGAGGCAGCAGUAGGGAAUCUUCCGCAAUGGGCGAAAGCCUGACGGAGCAACGCCGCGUGAGUGAUGAAGGUCUUCGGAUCGUAAAACUCUGUUAUUAGGGAAGAACAAAUGUGUAAGUAACUAUGCACGUCUUGACGGUACCUAAUCAGAAAGCCACGGCUAACUACGUG
Molecule: ribosomal RNA, 497 nt
Filed under: uncultured bacterium
Lineage: Bacteria
Description: partial 16S ribosomal RNA
Rfam family: Bacterial small subunit ribosomal RNA
Source: RNAcentral